RNAcentral lists this ribosomal RNA (305 nucleotides) under uncultured bacterium. RNAcentral describes it as "bacterial SSU rRNA". It matches the Rfam family "Bacterial small subunit ribosomal RNA", at positions 334 to 631 of the family's 1533-position model. The record is from RNAcentral.
UACUCCUACGGGGCGCAGCAGUAGGGAAUCUUCCACAAUGGACGAAAGUCUGAUGGAGCAACGCCGCGUGAGUGAAGAAGGGUUUCGGCUCGUAAAGCUCUGUUGGUAGUGAAGAAAGAUAGAGGUAGUAACUGGCCUUUAUUUGACGGUAAUUACUUAGAAAGUCACGGCUAACUAUGUGCCAGCAGCCGCGGUAAUACAUAGGGGGCAAGCGUUAUCCGGAAUUAUUGGGUGUAAAGGGUGCGUAGACGGAAGAACAAGUUGGUUGUGAAAUCCCUCGGCUCAACUGAGGAACUGCAACCAAA